This 241-nucleotide ribosomal RNA is filed under the name Trypanosoma congolense type Savannah. Its description in RNAcentral is "partial 18S ribosomal RNA". Lineage: Eukaryota; Euglenozoa; Kinetoplastea; Trypanosomatida; Trypanosomatidae. The record is from RNAcentral.
GAAAAAACAAGGGGGCGUGGGGGGGGCGACNCGUUUUUUUACCCCCCCCCCCCCCUUUUUGGGGGCCUGGCUGGCUUUUUUCCCCCUUUUUCUUCCCCCCCCUCCUUCCUUUUCACGCGCUCCCACACGUGUUGGGAGAGUGGAGGAGUAAGUGUGUGUGUGUGGAGGAAGAAGGUGCAGAGGGGGAAAUAUGGUGAGAGCGCGUGCGCGGACGCAGGUGUGUUGGUCACGGCUCUCAUCA